Molecule: ribosomal RNA, 460 nt
Filed under: uncultured bacterium
Lineage: Bacteria
Description: partial 16S ribosomal RNA
Rfam family: Bacterial small subunit ribosomal RNA
Source: RNAcentral
CCUACGGGUGGCUGCAGUGAGGAAUAUUGGUCAAUGGGCGAGAGCCUGAACCAGCCAAGUCGCGUGAAGGAUGAAGGAUCUAUGGUUUGUAAACUUCUUUUAUAUGGGAAUAAAGUGAGGAACGUGUUCCUUUUUGUAUGUACCAUAUGAAUAAGCAUCGGCUAACUCCGUGCCAGCAGCCGCGGUAAUACGGAGGAUGCGAGCGUUAUCCGGAUUUAUUGGGUUUAAAGGGUGCGUAGGUGGUUAAUUAAGUCAGCGGUGAAAGUUUGGGGCUCAACCAUAAGAUUGCCGUUGAAACUGGCUGACUUGAGUAGAGUAGAGGUAGGCGGAAUGCGUGGUGUAGCGGUGAAAUGCAUAGAUAUCACGAAGAACCCCGAUUGCGAAGGCAGCUUACUAAACUAUAACUGACACUGAGGCACGAAAGCGUGGGUAUCAAACAGGAUUAGAUACCCGUGUAGUC